AGGCACUGCGGUACCUAGGUGACGGACGCCUUCCUCUUCUCGCAUACAGAGAUUUGGAGAUGAAAAAGGCGGUUCGCUCUUUCACUCAUUGAUUCUAUGAUUCUGUUUUCCAGGGCUGUCAUCUAGGAGAGCUGAGAGUACUGGACCCCAGUCAAAAUCAUUUGUUACACCAGUUACACUAUUUAAAACUCGUAACAAACUGUGGGGGCUCGUCCGGGAUCUCUCCUCAUCACAACCAGGGGGAGCAGAUCCAGAGAUACUAGGACCACGCGACCAAGGUGACAAGGCGCUGCUGCAGGCCAGGAGUCAACCCGUGGGUGUCCGAGGAGGGAGACCAAAGAGAAAAGGGAUUUCAACCUCGCUUAGGAGCUGCACUGCUGAUCCUGAGGCCAGCGCACGCUACUUACCAGAGGGCUACAUGCUGAUCCUGUGGUCAUCGCACACCAGCAUCAGGGGAUCUCAUCUGGGAUCGGGAGGUCGACACGCACACACACACACGCCACUUACUAAGUCACUACACCGCUGAUUUACUGAAUUCACAAACCACAAGGGGACAUCAGGACUACACACCAUGUCAGCAACUCGUAAAGAAUUAGUAUGGGGCAUCAAGAAACAGCUAUUCAGACUCUCAAGCAACGACAUGUAACGACUGAGACAAAUCAGACACAAUUAUUUGUUAUAGGUAACCAAUAAUUGUUUGAAUCACUUUGGGGCCUGUCCCCCAUCCCCCGAGAAGUUCUCUGUUACAAGUUUUAUUGAGCUAAAGAAUGUGGUUGCCACGUGAAAGAGCAGAGAAGAGACACAGAAACGUGCAUCUUUCCUGCAUUUUCCCCACAGAACACAGACUUUCCUGCAUUAAUUUAUAGACAGACCGUUCUAUAAAUGAACAUGCACAUCCCUAGGAAACGGUAUCCAUUAUUGCUGUUGUUGUAUUGCACUCAUUGUAUUCGCAUGUUUUAUGAUACAUUUAAGGUAACUUCAAUCAUGCCAUGUUUAGUGUCUAUGGGUUCGUACCGAGAAGAUUUAAAUGCUUGUGUAUGCGGUAUGUCCAUACCUGUGCAACACAUCAGUAUUACAAGAAUCUUUAAUAGUUCUUCUUCAAAACUCAGCCAGUUAUUCUUGCUCGGUCGUAAAAGCCCUGACAGGAGGUGUGUUAUCGCCCGGAAAUACAACAUCUUCAUUGGUCCGGUCAGCAACUAAGAGGUGUGACUUUGAACAGAGGUUAAAAGCCAGUGAACAAUGCAACUCCCUCUCUUUCCUUGCUUCUUGGACGACUGAAGAGACCCCCUUCUUGCUGCAGGCCUGCAGGCCUCGGCCUACAACCCAGCCAUGUGCUUAUCUAUAAGUUGUUUCAUAGUACUUCAUCUAACGCAGCAACAACUUCGGACCAAACCAUCAAGAUUACAACCCAGCCUGCAGAUCCGAUGCUCCUCAGCCUAAAGGCAUCUUGCAAGUAUCGUACAUUUGAACACUAAACAGCAAUUUAGUAUUUGUAAAACUUACCUUUGUCAGCAAAGGUGUUUUAUUACUGAGGAAACUGAUGAUUCUUUUCCAGAUUGUCUAUGACUUUUUCCUAUAGCUCUAUCAACAGUUCCACUUCCGGUUCAACUCUAUCAUUGCUCAUUCUUACCAACGUAUGUGUGUGACCUGUGUGUAUGUUAUGUGUCUGUUAGUUUAGUUAUGUGUUUGUGAGUUAGUUAAUAAAGAUUGUGCACAAUA
This is a long non-coding RNA of Ctenopharyngodon idella (grass carp), 1719 nucleotides long. RefSeq lists it as uncharacterized. NCBI's taxonomy places the organism in Eukaryota, Metazoa, Chordata, Actinopteri, Cypriniformes, Xenocyprididae. The record is from RefSeq and is a predicted model, not a curated record. The transcript has 2 exons.